AUUGAACGCUGGCGGCAGGCCUAACACAUGCAAGUCGAGCGAGCGGCGGACGGGUGUGUAAUGUAUGGGGACUGCCCGAAAGAGGGGGAUAACAACUGGAAACGGUGGCUAAUACCGCUUACUAUCGGAGAACCCAUAUGGGAUUAGCUAUUAGGUGGGGUAAAGGCUCACCAAGUCGACGAUCUCUAGCUGGUCUGAGAGGAUGAUUUGCCACCCUGUGACUGGUACACGCCCCGGACUCCUACGGAGGCGGCAGUGGGGAGUAUUGCACAAUGGGCGCAAGCCUGAUGCGUCCAUGCGGGGUGUAUGAGGAAGGCCUUAGGUUUGUAAAGUACGUUCAGCGAGGAGGCGUUACCCGCCGAGGAAGCACCGGCUAACUCCGUGCCAGCAGCCGCGGUAAUAC
This 403-nucleotide ribosomal RNA is filed under the name uncultured bacterium. RNAcentral's name for it is "partial 16S ribosomal RNA". It matches the Rfam family "Bacterial small subunit ribosomal RNA", at positions 30 to 526 of the family's 1533-position model. The record is from RNAcentral.